Molecule: ribosomal RNA, 589 nt
Filed under: uncultured bacterium
Lineage: Bacteria
Description: bacterial SSU rRNA
Rfam family: Bacterial small subunit ribosomal RNA
Source: RNAcentral
CCUACGGGAGGCAGCAGUGGGGAAUUUUGGACAAUGGGCGCAAGCCUGAUCCAGCAAUGCCGCGUGAGUGAAGAAGGCCUUCGGGUUGUAAAGCUCUUUUGUCAGGGAAGAAACGGCUGAGGUUAAUACCUUUGGCUAAUGACGGUACCUGAAGAAUAAGCACCGGCUAACUACGUGCCAGCAGCCGCGGUAAUACGUAGGGUGCAAGCGUUAAUCGGAAUUACUGGGCGUAAAGCGUGCGCAGGCGGUUUUUGUAAGUCUGUCGUGAAAGCCCCGGGCUCAACCUGGGAAUUGCGAUGGAGACUGCAAGGCUUGAAUCUGGCAGAGGGGGGUAGAAUUCCACGUGUAGCAGUGAAAUGCGUAGAGAUGUGGAGGAACACCGAUGGCGAAGGCAGCCCCCUGGGUCAAGAUUGACGCUCAUGCACGAAAGCGUGGGGAGCAAACAGGAUUAGAUACCCUGGUAGUCCACGCCCUAAACGAUGUCUACUAGUUGUCGGGUUUUAAUUAACCUUGGUUAACGCAGCUAACGCGUGAAGUAGACCGCCUGGGGAGUACGGUCGCAAGNUUAAACCGUUAAAGGAAUUGACGG